RNAcentral lists this ribosomal RNA (490 nucleotides) under uncultured bacterium. RNAcentral describes it as "partial 16S ribosomal RNA". It matches the Rfam family "Bacterial small subunit ribosomal RNA", at positions 895 to 1386 of the family's 1533-position model. The record is from RNAcentral.
UNAAACUCNNNNNAAUUGACGNNNNNNCGCACAAGCNNUGGAUGAUGUGGAUUAAUUCGAUGCAACGCGGAGAACCUUACCUGGUCUUGACAUGUNNGGAACCCUCCAGAGANNNNGGGGUGCCUUCGGGAGCCGUAACGCAGGUGCUGCAUGGCNGUCGUCAGCUCGUGUCGUGAGAUGUUGGGUUAAGUCCCGCAACGAGCGCAACCCUUGUCAUUAGUUGCCAUCAUUAAGUUGGGCACUNUAANGAGACUGCCGGUGACAAGCCGGAGGAAGGUGGGGAUGACGUCAAGUCCUCAUGGCCCUUAUGACCAGGGCUUCACACGUCAUACAAUGGUCGGUACAGAGGGUAGCCAAGCCGCGAGGUGGAGCCAAUCUCACAAAACCGAUCGUAGUCCGGAUUGCACUCUGCAACUCGAGUGCAUGAAGUCGGAAUCGCUAGUAAUCGCAGGUCAGCAUACUGCGGUGAAUACGUUCCCGGGUCUUGUNC